ACAUCCGGGCUAGGGGGGAGAGAUCGCGUGACGAGCAAUCCUUCGCGCAUGCGCAGCCUCCACUAGUUCUGUGGCUACGGCCGCACGCUUUGCAAAGUGUGAGGCUCGAGGUUUCCUAUGCUCCUGUUGGGACGCUUGGGACUGUCGUGAGCUCCAGGUCCUGGAGCGCCUGGGUUUAGGCUUGAGGAGGAGAGAGAAAGCGAAGACCUUCUGGAACUUCAAAUGAGAAGUCGAAAAUAAGGGAAGGAUGGAAUAUGUAUCUACCUCCAGGAUUAAAUGUGCUAACAGAUGCAAACUGCUCAGCAUUCUAUUUGUGAUCUAUAGAUGGCAGUUCCCUUGCCUUUCCUCUCAAUUCCAUUCCACAAUUUCUGCUGUUCCAGGAGCACCGAAGGAGACCAAUCCUCCCCACAGACUAAAGAUAAAUUUCAUUUGAAGUACUCUGGAUAGAUGAAAAAUCUGGAUUGUUUCAAGAGAUCGCAGGGUGAUUAUUUUACAAAAUUAUUAUUCAAAUAGCAAGCUCCCCAUGAUCAUACCACAUAUUAUUUGAUUUAUGGAAAUACAGCUUGUAUUCAGCUUGUUAGGAGCACAUAUAUUGCAUAAAAUAAGACCAAGUUUCACAAAGUCAGAGUCCAUGUCUGUGUUGUUCCUCACUGGCCACAUGGUAGGCUUUUGAAUAUUUGUGUGAUUGAUUUAAAUACUGGAAUUUGUUUUCUGCUAAAUCUCAAGUCAGGGGCAUCAGUUCUGCAGUUCUUUCUUUGUAGCUGUUAGCAUGAAUUUUGAUGGCAUGAAAAAGCUUGUUCUCUGAAUUAUAUUUAGCUCAUACAAACUCUACUGCACAAUUAUGUUGUAAAGAGGAAUUAGGUUUUAUCUUUAAGUUGUUAUUAUAGCCUUGUGAAAAGGUGAACAUUGAGAAUAACUAUAAAGUAGUAGUGUAUUGUAAUAUUACUUUUGCUACCCUUUUUUUUUAAACUGUGGUGCAUGGCCUGGAACAGACUGACACGUGGUAGGUGUAUCCGUCAGGGUCUGUAUAAAAAACAGAUGGCACACUCAAAUUAGAUAAUUAGAGGAGCGUUUAAUAAAGGGACUAUUUACGAAGGUUUGGGUAGGGUGUAGGGAAACCAGAGGGAUAGUGUGGUACCCAGGGGGCUAGUAAUAGCUGGGAUCUUUACCAUUCCUAGAUCUGAAAGUGAAGGGAGGGAGAAGUUACAGAACCCAGAAAGAGAGUUCUGCCUUGAGAAGGAGCAGUGACCUUUUAUCAAAAGACAAAACCAACCUCAGGCGUUGUGGGGCAGGGAGGGAACUGGGGGAAUAAGUACUUCAGCCUCACUCUCCCUCUGCCCUCCAAUCUUCGGCUGCUGCUUCCCAUUGGCUGUACCAAGAUGGAAACUAGAGGGCAAAGGAGUGAGUCGAUGAUGUAGUCCAUAUGGGUCAGCACCCCAGGGCAAAGAGCAGGAUGGAUGGAAAAGCGGAUCAGGAGGGGCAAAUGGAAAAUAUCUGGUACAGUAGGCUUCAUUUCCAUGUUGAAUAAAGACAUAUAAAUCUUAGUAUCUUAGUGAAACCUUUAGGAAUGGCUCUAUGGCAGUAGGUUCGCGGUUAUCGUUUGUUCAUUCUUCAGACCAACUGAACAUAUUAUAAAAAGUAUUGUGCUGGGCAUUUUGAGAGAAGCUCAGCAAUGGCAAAAGAAUCUCAGAAAUGCAAUGAGCUCUCCUUCCUGAGGCGUGUAUUUUUAAGAAUACAUCCUCACUCUAUCAAAACACUUGUUUAGAGCUCUGAAUAGUAAACAUGACCCCACAGGUCUCAAAAUUAGAUGCUGCUUCCCGAGAAGCAAGAGAGUUCAGUUCAGGCAAAGACCCAGGUUCUGAAUCCUGUGGCUGACAACUGGCAGUUAAUGUUUCUUGCCAUGUUGGUACCUUUUAGGUAGGAGCUGAACAGUCAUUUUUCAGGCAAGGGGACCAGACUAGGAUUUAUCAGUGCAUCUCUGGAAAUUGGACUUGCUCUUAUGAAUGGAGUCGAUUGUGGUCUCACAUUUUCUGAGUCUGUGAAAUCAUUCCCCUCUUUAACGAGGUCCUCUUGGAAGAGGAGGGAACGGGUCUCCUUUAGUGACAUGACUCUGACAAGCAAAUCAAUUCGUUCCAUUUGUUUCCUCUUUGCAAACAGCAAUCCUCGAGCGUUACAUAAUCUAAUCUUCAUGCCUCGCUGGUUUGUUCUGUCCUCCUGAGGAAUUGGCAGAUGGUGCCAGUGCGGAGACCCGCGCACACGCCUCGCAAGCCUCAUGGUAACAGGAGAGUUGCUCACAGUGUCUGUCUCUUUGCUGUGGGGUCCCUUGCUGGCAUUUGUUUCCCUGGAUCAGCUUGCUCUUUAGCAUUCCUCAGGCACCACUGGCUUUUUGCCUUGGGCUCUCAUUCCAAGAUUAAUUGGAAAUGCUGAAAGCAGAUAAAAAGAGAACAGAAAGUGAAGUUGAAAGGGCAGAGAAUUUGCCGGAUCUUUUCUAAAAGCCCUCCUCCAUUGAAGGUUGAGUGUCUUUGGAGAUUUUAG
Equus asinus (donkey) is the source of this 2535-nucleotide long non-coding RNA. The record is from Ensembl. NCBI's taxonomy places the organism in Eukaryota, Metazoa, Chordata, Mammalia, Perissodactyla, Equidae.